CUAUCACUUUCGAUGGUAGGAUAGUGGCCUACCAUGGUGGCAACGGGUAACGGGGAAUUAGGGUUCGAUUCCGGAGAGGGAGCCUGAGAAACGGCUACCACAUCCAAGGAAGGCAGCAGGCGCGCAAAUUACCCAAUCCCGAUACGGGGAGGUAGUGACAAUAAAUACUGAUACGGGGCUCUUUUGGGUCUCGUAAUUGGAAUGAGAACAAUUUAAAUCCCUUAACGAGGAACAAUUGGAGGGCAAGUCUGGUGCCAGCAGCCGCGGUAAUUCCAGCUCCAAUAGCGUAUAUUAAAGUUGUUGCAGUUAAAAAGCUCGUAGUUGAACCUUGGGUCUGGCUGGUCGGUCCGCCUCACCGCGAGUACUGAUCCGGCUGGACCUUUCCUUCUGGGGAACCUCAUGGCCUUCACUGGCUGUGGGGGGAACCAGGACUUUUACUGUGAAAAAAUUAAAAGUGUUCAAAGCAGGCCUUUGCUCGAAUACAUUAGCAUGGAAUAAUAGAAUAGGACGUGUGGUUCUAUUUUGUUGGGUUCUAGGACCGCCGUAAUGAUUAAUAGGGAUAAUCGGGGGCGUCAGUAUUCAGCUUGCAGAAGUGAAAUUCUUGGAUUUGCUGAAGACUAACUACUGCGAAAGCAUUCCCCAAGGAUGUUUUCAUUAAUCAGGGAACGAAAGUUAGGGGAUCGAAAACGAUCAGAUACCGGCGUAAUCUUAACCUUAACUAUGCCACUAGGGAUCGGACAGGAUUCUAUUAUGACCUGUCGGACCUUACGAGAAAUCAAAAGUUUUGGGUUCUGGGGGGAGAUUGGC
Molecule: ribosomal RNA, 807 nt
Filed under: fungal sp. EEM15
Lineage: Eukaryota; Fungi
Description: SSU rRNA
Rfam family: Eukaryotic small subunit ribosomal RNA
Source: RNAcentral